AUUGAACGCUGGCGGCAGGCCUAACACAUGCAAGUCGAGCGGAGCGGCGGACGGGUGAGUAAUGUCUGGGAAACUGCCUGAUGGAGGGGGAUAACUACUGGAAACGGUAGCUAAUACCGCAUACUAUCAGAUGAGCCUAGGUCGGAUUAGCUAGUUGGUGGGGUAAAGGCCUACCAAGGCGACGAUCCUUAACUGGUCUGAGAGGAUGAGCAGUCACACUGGCACGGAGACACGGUCCAGACUCCUACGGGAGGCAGCAGUGGGGAAUAUUGGACAAUGGGCGUAAGCCUGAUCCAGCCAUGCCGCGUGUGUGAAGAAGGUCUUCGGAUUGUAAAGCACUUUAAGUUGGGAGGCGUUACCAACAGAAGAAGCACCGGCUAACUCCGUGCCAGCAGCCGCGGUAAUAC
RNAcentral lists this ribosomal RNA (407 nucleotides) under uncultured bacterium. RNAcentral describes it as "partial 16S ribosomal RNA". It matches the Rfam family "Bacterial small subunit ribosomal RNA", at positions 30 to 526 of the family's 1533-position model. The record is from RNAcentral.